Gasterosteus aculeatus aculeatus (three-spined stickleback) is the source of this 740-nucleotide long non-coding RNA. The record is from Ensembl. Lineage: Eukaryota; Metazoa; Chordata; Actinopteri; Perciformes; Gasterosteidae.
CCUGUGCUGCUUUCAGGGCCGCCGCAAUGCCGUUGUUCUCCAAUUUCCAAUUGUACAUCUGGGUGUUAUGGAAGGCUUGGAAUCGUUCCCUCAUUUGGAUUGCUGACCCCUCCUGGUUUUUAAGAGCUUCUGCCAACUUUGUCAAUUCAAUGCGAAGCUUCUCUGUUUGAGCCCUCUCAAUUUCCAGUUGACUUUCCAAUUCAAUCUCUGUGUUAGUUUUAGCCAGCUUCAUUUCAGCACUGACCUUCAACAUCCAUUCCAGUUGACCCUUCAAUUCCAAGUUCUCCUUAGAGAUAGUCUCUUCAAAAUUAGGCAGAAGCUGUUUUUCUCCCUUCAUUUUCAAGUCUACACACUGGAUCUUGGUCUUGGGUGUCUGUCCCUCGACAUCACCCUGGGUCUUUUGCAGCUUGGGCCGGCUGGCUUUUAGCUGCGUUUUUUGGCAUAUCUCCUUUUGCACUUCUCCAGUCUUUUUUUCAGGGAGAAGAUCAAGGAACUGUUGCAAUCUGUCCUCGUCAAUCUGAAGGAGAACUCUCCCCUCACAUUGAGUUUGGCCAUAUGAAAGCAGUUGGAUUUGUGGAGAAAGUCAAACUACAACAUCGCCAGUGAAGGAUGAGAAGUUCAUGCUGAAACAUGUAAAAAUCAGUCCAGGAGCCACCUUGACAGAGCCGAGGGUUCAGCCGCUCAUUACUGAAGCGGAGGAAGAGGAAGGCGUCCAGGGGUCUUUGACUGCAGAGGUGAGG